This is a long non-coding RNA of Bombus pascuorum, 159 nucleotides long. RefSeq lists it as uncharacterized. The transcript has 2 exons. Lineage: Eukaryota; Metazoa; Arthropoda; Insecta; Hymenoptera; Apidae. The record is from RefSeq and is a predicted model, not a curated record.
UGAACACUUUUACCUUUGUCACUCGAGAAAAUUCCGAUCGAGGCAAAAUGUGAGUAUGAGAGCAAGAAUGAAUGGGAGAAAAUGAAAGGAAUAGAAUGAAAACAGAUAGAGACGAUUGCAUGCAGUUCGAAUAUUUUUAAAAACAAAAGAACUAAAACA